RNAcentral lists this small RNA (30 nucleotides) under Bombyx mori (domestic silkworm). Its description in RNAcentral is "ovarian small RNA-33261". Lineage: Eukaryota; Metazoa; Arthropoda; Insecta; Lepidoptera; Bombycidae. The record is from RNAcentral.
UGCAAAGGUGAUUGGAUCUGAUGGAUCCGU